RNAcentral lists this ribosomal RNA (613 nucleotides) under Trichosporon asahii. RNAcentral's name for it is "partial large subunit ribosomal RNA". It matches the Rfam family "Eukaryotic large subunit ribosomal RNA", at positions 51 to 653 of the family's 3401-position model. The record is from RNAcentral. Lineage: Eukaryota; Fungi; Basidiomycota; Tremellomycetes; Trichosporonales; Trichosporonaceae.
CGGAGGAAAAGAAACUAACAAGGAUUCCCCUAGUAACGGCGAGUGAAGCGGGAAGAGCUCAAAUUUGAAAUCUGGCAGUCUUCGAUUGUCCGAGUUGUAAUCUAUAGAGGCGUUUUCCGUGCCGGACCGUGUCCAAGUCUCCUGGAAAGGAGUAUCAAAGAGGGUGAUAAUCCCGUACUUAACACGACCACCGGUGCUCUGUGAUACGUCUUCUACGAGUCGAGUUGUUUGGGAAUGCAGCUCAAAAUGGGUGGUGAAUUCCAUCUAAAGCUAAAUAUUGGCGAGAGACCGAUAGCGAACAAGUACCGUGAGGGAAAGAUGAAAAGCACUUUGGAAAGAGAGUUAAACAGUACGUGAAAUUGUUGAAAGGGAAACGAUUGAAGUCAGUCGUGUUCUUUGGAUUCAGCCAGUUCUGCUGGUCUACUUCCUUGGAACGGGUCAACAUCAGUUUUGUCCGGUGGAUAAAGGUAGUAGGAAUGUGACUUCUCCGGAAGUGUUAUAGCCUAUUAUCACAUACACUGGGUGAGACUGAGGACUGCAGCUCGCCUUUAUGGCCGGCCUUCGGGCACGUUCGAGCUUAGGAUGUUGACAUAAUGGCUUUAAACGACCCGUC